Molecule: ribosomal RNA, 303 nt
Filed under: uncultured bacterium
Lineage: Bacteria
Description: partial 16S ribosomal RNA
Rfam family: Bacterial small subunit ribosomal RNA
Source: RNAcentral
AGCAGUAGCCGCGGUAAUACGGAGGGUGCAAGCGUUAAUCGGAAUUACUGGGCGUAAAGCGCACGCAGGCGGAUUGUUAAGUCAGAUGUGAAAUCCCCGAGCUUAACUUGGGAACUGCAUUUGAAACUGGCAAGCUAGAGUCUUGUAGAGGGUGGUAGAAUUCCAGGUGUAGCGGUGAAAUGCGUAGAGAUCUGGAGGAAUACCGGUGGCGAAGGCGGCCCCCUGGACAAAGACUGACGCUCAGGUGCGAAAGCGUGGGGAGCAAACAGGAUUAGAUACCCGCGUAGUCCCUGUCUCUUAUAC